Molecule: non-coding RNA, 1608 nt
Organism: Miniopterus natalensis
Lineage: Eukaryota; Metazoa; Chordata; Mammalia; Chiroptera; Miniopteridae
Source: RefSeq, a predicted model, not a curated record
GACAGUAGAAGGGGGGCAGAGCGAGCGAGCGAGCGCCCCAACCAGGGCCGGGAUCAAGCCUGCAAACGAGGUCGGUGCUCUUCCCCGGGAUUGAACCCCUGGCCCUCCAGCCGGUGGGCCAGCGCUCUAACCACUGAGCCAAACUGGCCAGGGCUUCCCACGAACGUUCUGCAACAGCAUUUCUUCUAAAUUUCAAGAGUCAUAAAAAAAGAGCAUUGUUGACGAUACAGAAGUUAUCUGACGCACCUUCCGCGAUUGUAACAGUGGGCUUAUACACGAGGUUUGAGAAAAGCCUAAGGAGCCAGUAUAAUCAUAAUUAUUAUUAUUACUAAUAUUAGUACUAAUAUUCGUUUGUAGGUAUGCAGGCCUUGUCAGUGUCUCGGGAUGGCCGCCUGUUUCUGACGUCUGGGUUUUUCAUCCAUGAAAAGUCUCUGAUCUCCACCGCAGACGGAGGCGGGUGUCCCCUCGCGGUUGGGCGCCUGGGAAGAGUGAAGACGCCCGCCGCUUUCCCAGCCUCCUGAGGCCGCGAGCGACGCCAAGGGCACAGCCACUGUCGGCGUCAACACCGGCUGCUUGGUCUUCGGCCGGUUGACAAGCCCGAGUGAGAACAAUUAGGCUUGUGGGGCAGAUUUUAUUCGGGUAAACGAGAGCCUUCAGGUGUGCCCGCCCCCACGGAAGGUCCUGCUUUUCCAGCUCAGUGACAUUCCUGCUGAUCCUUUAAAGACCCGUCUGUAAAACCAGAGUUAGCAAGGGCUCGCCUGCCAACCGCUCCCGGGAGUCAGGUGGUCAGCAGGCGAAACGCAACGCAAUCGGUGUCCUCCUCCGCAGACAACUGAGGAAAAGAGAGGGUUCCUCUGAGUCUUUCGGGGUGAGUCAGCAGCCCAUCUCUAGAUGUUAGAUGACCGACGUAUCUCACCUGCGGUGGACAGAGUCAGAGCUUGUUCUUGGGUAUCCGUGUCCCUCCACGGCUAGCUGCUGUAAUAGAGAGACUGGAAGGGAGAAAGAGAGAGAAAACAAACCCAACACAUCGACGUGAGAGAGAUGCAUCGAGGGGUCGCCUCCCUCACUCGCCCCGGCAGGGGCUGGGGGUCGAGCCUGCAACCGAGGUGCCUAAGAACGCCCCCGGGACUCGGGCUGGCGGGAGGAAGUGCCCCUUAUCUUUGGAGCCGAACCAGUUCAGGUCUCAUUUUCGCAGCGAAGGGUUUGGCUCAGACUCUCGAUCCCGCGGGGCACAACCGCAGCCCCAGAGCAGAGGCCACGAAUCCCCUCGUUGUUACCGAGUUAAUUGUUGGCUGUUAACUCUCCUGCACCCACCUGAGCAAAAUCUAUUCGUUUUGGGGGCUCUCCGUUGUUGCUCCGAAGCCCGUCGACUGCUUGGACGAGGCCCACGGUGCUGUGCAGGGACCCGCGGGCCCCAGAGCCCGCCGCCUUCGGCGCUCACCCCACCUACAGAGCCCCUUCUCGGGAACCCCCAGACCCCUUCACAGAAAUGCCCUCUGGUGAGGAGUGAAAAAUAAAUAAAAUAAAAGUGGCUAAAGACGCCGGCAGGCAUUUCCCAGGACAGGGACUGGAAGCCAAAGCCGUCGGGCGCCCACCAGACGGACAGAA